AUUGAACGCUGGCGGCAGGCCUAACACAUGCAAGUCGAACGGUAACAGGAAGCAGCUUGCUGUUUUGCUGACGAGUGGCGGACGGGUGAGUAAUGUCUGGGAAACUGCCUGAUGGAGGGGGAUAACUACUGGAAACGGUAGCUAAUACCGCAUAAUGUCGCAAGACCAAAGAGGGGGACCUUCGGGCCUCUUGCCAUCGGAUGUGCCAAGAUGGGAUUAGCUAGCAGGUGGGGUAACGGCUCACCUAGGCGACGAUCCCUAGCUGGUCUGAGAGGAUGACCAGCCACACUGGAACUGAGACACGGUCCAGACUCCUACGGGAGGCAGCAGUGGGGAAUAUUGCACAAUGGGCGCAAGCCUGAUGCAGCCAUGCCGCGUGUAUGAAGAAGGCCUUCGGGUUGUAAAGUACUUUCAGCGGGGAGGAAGGGAGUAAAGUUAAUACCUUUGCUCAUUGACGUUACCCGCAGAAGAAGCACCGGCUAACUCCGUGCCAGCCGCCGCCGUAA
Molecule: ribosomal RNA, 506 nt
Filed under: uncultured bacterium
Lineage: Bacteria
Description: partial 16S ribosomal RNA
Rfam family: Bacterial small subunit ribosomal RNA
Source: RNAcentral